UACGAAGGGGGCUAGCGUUGCUCGGAAUCACUGGGCGUAAAGGGUGCGUAGGCGGGUCUUUAAGUCAGGGGUGAAAUCCUGGAGCUCAACUCCAGAACUGCCUUUGAUACUGAGGAUCUUGAGUUCGGGAGAGGUGAGUGGAACUGUGAGUGUAGAGGUGAAAUUCGUAGAUAUUCGCAAGAACACCAGUGGCGAAGGCGGCUCACUGGUCCGAUACUGACGCUGAGGCACGAAAGCGUGGGGAGCAAACAGG
Molecule: ribosomal RNA, 253 nt
Filed under: uncultured bacterium
Lineage: Bacteria
Description: partial 16S ribosomal RNA
Rfam family: Bacterial small subunit ribosomal RNA
Source: RNAcentral